This is a long non-coding RNA of Mauremys reevesii (Reeves's turtle), 228 nucleotides long. RefSeq lists it as uncharacterized. NCBI's taxonomy places the organism in Eukaryota, Metazoa, Chordata, Testudines, Geoemydidae. The transcript has 3 exons. The record is from RefSeq and is a predicted model, not a curated record.
CCUGGAGCCCCACUUUUCAAAAGCAGCCCUUGUGGAGAGCAUUGUGUCUCCCAGGAGCUGAUUGAAAAUCUUCCCGUGGUGUCCAAGCCAAGCUCCAUCAUGUCCAGCUUCAUGGCCGUGGUUUACAGUAUCAGAAAACUGAAGCCGUCGCUUGACCUGGAGCUGGAAUCACGUCUCCUAUGGGCUGUUCUCCACAGAAUCUUUACCGUGGGCACUGGGAACGACACC